This 1855-nucleotide unclassified non-coding RNA is filed under the name Hevea brasiliensis (rubber tree). Lineage: Eukaryota; Viridiplantae; Streptophyta; Magnoliopsida; Malpighiales; Euphorbiaceae. The record is from RNAcentral.
CUACUUCUUUACUUAACUUCAAGUCGUUCAUAACUGUUCUAACCUUUGCUGCCUCAUCUAAUAUUUUUUCUCCAGCAUACAUAUUUGAAACUAGUAUGUAAGAUCCAGCUUCAGCAGGUGACAAAUCAAGCAAAUGUUUUGAAGCCAACUUGCCAAAAUUCAAAUCACCACAUAACUUACACACAUUGACCAAAGUUCUCCAAAGCAAGGUUGACUUUGAAAAUGGGCUUUUGUUAAUUAUAUCCAUUGCUUCAGACAAGUGGCCAGCUCUACCCAAAAGAUCAACCAUACAAGCAUAGUGCUCAAGUAAAGGUUUAAUUCCAUAUUUUGGCUCCAUUAUAUUGAAUAAGCAUAUUCCAUCUUGCCAUAGACCAGAGUAAGUGCAAGCUUGAAGAAUGGCCAAUAUUGUGAUCUCAUCAGGAGCAAUUUCUUUUUUCUUCAUUUCUUCAAAUAGCAAUAAAGCCUUUUGGCCUUGGCCAUGAAGAGCAUAAGCAGAAAUCAUGGCAUUCCAAGAUACAAAGUCAUGUUCAUUCAUGGCCAUAAAGAUUUUAUUUGCAUCUUCAAUGCUUCCACAUUUGGCAUACAUUGUAAUCACAGCGUUAGCUACAGAAAAAUCAGCUUCAAAUCCUGUCUUAAUACCAUAAGCAUGAAAACUUCUCCCUCUUUGUAAUGAAGCUUGAUUAGCUGACAAACUAAGUAAUCGCGAAAAAGUCACCAAAUCUGGUUUAAUACCAGCCAUCCUGAGCUGAUUAAAUAAAACCAUGGAGUCUUGUUCAUCAUUUCCACUGUCUUCCAUAAAUCCUGCCAGAAUGGCAUUGAAAGAAGCAGUACUCUUAAUUGAAAGAACAUUAAAAACUCUUCUUGCAGACUGCAGGUUCCCAGAUUUGGCAUAUAAAUCAACUAAAGCAGUCCCAAUAUUAACAUCACUUUCAUAACCAAGCUUUAUCACAAAUCCGUGGAUCUGAAGUCCCAAUUCCAAGAAGCUGUACUCUGAACAGCAAUCAAGAACAAUAGUUAACAAACUAGAGUCAACGUUUACACCAAGGUAAUGCAAUUCCAUGAAUGCAUCAACAGCUUUUUUGCCAUAGCCACUACUUGAGUAGCCUGAUACAAGUGCAGUCCAUGAAAUCACAUUCCUCUCAGUAAUUACAGAAAACAUUCUCUUGGCCUCCUUAGCCAUUCCAUUUUUUCCAUACAUUGUAAUAAUUGCAUUUCCAACUGAAGUUUCAUUCAGAACACCAUACUUAAAAGCAAGCCCCUGUAAUUGUUUACCUUCCUCUAUACCUAAAUCUCCAUUGCACGUGUUAAUUAUGUUAGUGAACGUAUAAUCAUUUGGCUCAAAACCAGAACUCAGUAGAUUUAUGAAAACCUCAAUAGCCUUCUCCCCAUUUCCGGCCCUCCCAUAUUCCAAAAUCAUAAGAUUUAGACAACGCACAUCUUUACCUGCCGUGCUGUCAAACAAUUUCUCUGCAUCACCAAGGAAUCCACUUCUUGUGUACAUAGCAAUCAAAGAAGUACCAACAUAAACAUUAUCGACAAACCCAGAUUUUAUGGCAAAACAAUGAAUCUGUUCCCCCGUUAUCUUAUCCUCUGAGAAGCUACAUGCUUGUAAAAUCACCGUGCAAGUAUGCUCAUUGAACUUCUCCCCGAAUUCAAACAUAUCACCCGCAAUACAAAAUACAGAUUGAAAAUCAUUUUCCUCCAAAUACCCCUUCAUUAGUGAAGUCCAGGUAAUUGUGUUUCUGACAUUCAUUUGAUCGAACACCCUCUGUGCCAAAUCUAAUCUAUUGAAUUUUACAUAAAGACUAAGUAGAUUAUUGCCUUCGAAUGGAUCACGUUGAGAGCCUGAUUUCAC